This 495-nucleotide ribosomal RNA is filed under the name uncultured bacterium. Its description in RNAcentral is "partial 16S ribosomal RNA". It matches the Rfam family "Bacterial small subunit ribosomal RNA", at positions 28 to 523 of the family's 1533-position model. The record is from RNAcentral.
GACGAACGCUGGCGGCGUGCUUAACACAUGCAAGUCGAACGAGAAUCUGUGGAAAGAGGAUUCGUCCAAUUGAAGCAGAGGACAGUGGCGGACGGGUGAGUAACGCGUGAGGAACCUGCCUUUCAGAGGGGGACAACAGUUGGAAACGACUGCUAAUACCGCAUGACACAUAGGUGUCGCAUGGCACUUAUGUCAAAGAUUUAUCGCUGAAAGAUGGCCUCGCGUCUGAUUAGCUAGGUGGUGAGGUAACGGCCACCAAGGCGACGAUCAGUAGCCGGACUGAGAGGUUGAACGGCCACAUUGGGACUGAGAUACGGCCCAGACUCCUACGGGAGGCAGCAGUGGGGAAUAUUGGGCAAUGGGCGCAAGCCUGACCCAGCAACGCCGCGUGAAGGAAGAAGGCUUUCGGGUUGUAAACUUCUUUUGUCAGGGACGAGUAGAAGACGGUACCUGACGAAUAAGCCACGGCUAACUACGUGCCAGCCGCCGCUGUAA